UACAGAGGGUGCAAACGUUGUUCGGAAUUACUGGGCGUAAAGCGUGUGUAGGCGGCUUUGUAAGUUAGAGGUGAAAGCCUGGAGCUCAACUCCAGAAUUGCCUUUAAGACUGCAUCGCUCGAAUCCGGGAGAGGUGAGUGGAAUUCCGAGUGUAGAGGUGAAAUUCGUAGAUAUUCGGAAUAACACCAGUGGCGAAGGCGGCUCACUGGACCGGCAUUGACGCUGAGGUGCGAAAGCGUGGGGAGCAAACAGG
This 253-nucleotide ribosomal RNA is filed under the name uncultured bacterium. RNAcentral describes it as "partial 16S ribosomal RNA". It matches the Rfam family "Bacterial small subunit ribosomal RNA", at positions 524 to 776 of the family's 1533-position model. The record is from RNAcentral.